AUGAACGCUAGCUAUAGGCUUAACACAUGCAAGUCGAGGGGAAACGGCAUUAUGUGCUUGCCCAUUUUGGACGUCGACCGGCGCACGGGUGAGUAUCGCGUAUCCAACCUGCCCUUUACUUGGGGAUACCCCGUUGAAAGACGGCCUAAUACCCGAUGUAAUUCAUUGAUGGCAUCAGAUAUGAAUAAAAGAUUUAUCGGUAAAGGAUGGGGAUGCGUCUGAUUAGCUUGUUGGUGAGGUAACGGCUCACCAAGGCGACGAUCAGUAGGGGUUCUGAGAGGAAGGUCCCCCACAUUGGAACUGAGACACGGUCCAAACUCCUACGGGAGGCAGCAGUGAGGAAUAGUGGUCAAUGGGCGCAAGCCUGAACCAGCCAAGUAGCGUGCAGGAAGACGGCCCUAUGGGUUGUAAACUGCUUUUAUACGAGAAUAAUUUGAUGCACGUGUGCGUUAUUGCAUGUAUCGUAUGAAUAAGGACCGGCUAAUUCCGUG
Molecule: ribosomal RNA, 491 nt
Filed under: uncultured bacterium
Lineage: Bacteria
Description: partial 16S ribosomal RNA
Rfam family: Bacterial small subunit ribosomal RNA
Source: RNAcentral